Molecule: ribosomal RNA, 460 nt
Filed under: uncultured bacterium
Lineage: Bacteria
Description: partial 16S ribosomal RNA
Rfam family: Bacterial small subunit ribosomal RNA
Source: RNAcentral
CCUACGGGUGGCAGCAGUGAGGAAUAUUGGUCAAUGGUCGGGAGACUGAACCAGCCAAGCCGCGUGAGGGAGGAAGGUACAGAGUAUCGUAAACUUCUUUUAUAAGGGAAUAAAGGCGGGGACGUGUCCCCGGUUGAGUGUACCGGAAGAAUAAGGAUCGGCUAACUCCGUGCCAGCAGCCGCGGUAAUACGGAGGAUGCGAGCGUUAUCCGGAUUUAUUGGGUUUAAAGGGUGCGUAGGCGGUCUGUUAAGUGAGCUGUGAAAGGUCGGGGCUCAACCCUGGCCUUGCAGUGAAAACUGGCGGGCUUGAGUUGGGGGAAAGUAUGCGGAAUUCGUGGUGUAGCGGUGAAAUGCGUAGAUAUCACGAAGAACUCCGAUUGCGAAGGCAGCUUGCUGGAUCGGCACUGACGCUGAGGCUCGAAAGCGUGGGUAUCGAACAGGAUUAGAUACCCUUGUAGUC